This 105-nucleotide ribosomal RNA is filed under the name Acanthosepion pharaonis. Lineage: Eukaryota; Metazoa; Mollusca; Cephalopoda; Sepiida; Sepiidae. The record is from RNAcentral.
AAUCACGCUGAAACACCGGUUCUCGUUCGAUCACCGAAGUUAAGCAUCGUAGAGCCAGGUCAGUACUUAGAUGGGGGACCGCUUGGAAACACCUGGUACUGUAAG